GGGGAAUAAAAUCUGGAGUGUAAAAACAAAUAAAUACAUUUUAAAAAACUAAGACAAGCAUUUUAAUAAUAUUUAUGACAAUUACAUAAAAUUAUAUACAUUGUGUUCAUAGAGUGAAUGUCACCUCGUAUCUACAAAUAAGUACAAUUAUGAAAAAUAAAAAGUAAAAAUAUAGAAUUAAACAUCUUAAACCAUUCCUAUAAUCUGAGAACUUGAAAGGUAGGACUGAAGGAUCAGAAUUUCAAGGGAGCUUCAAUACAUAGUAAGAUUGUUGUUUCAUGAAACAAAUAGAAGAAGACAAUGGUCUAGUAAACCCCAUGACCAAAAGCAAUUGAGGAAAGAGAGGGAUUACUUUCUAUAUGAUUUUAAUCCAUCAUUCUGUAGAACAAAGACAAGAUAUUAAAGCAGGAAACUAGAGGCAGACCAUGAAGGAGCAUACUUUACUGCCUUGCUUUCCAUAGCUUUCUUAACUUUCUGCCUCCUACAACUCAGGAUGACAUCCCAGGAAUAGGACCACCCACAGUGGGAUGGAACUUCCCACCUCCAUCAUUAACCAUUUUUAAAGGUUUUUGGAUAUUUUACAUAUUUACAUUUCAAAUGUUAUCCCCUUCCCUCCCUAUCCCAUACUCCGUCCCCACUCCCCCUGCUUGUAUGAGGAUGUUCCCACUCCCACCCACCCACACCCACCUCAACACCUUGGCAUUCCCCUACACUGGGGAAAUGAGCCUUCACAGGACCAAGGGCUUCUCCUAUUGAUGCUGAACAAGGCCAUCCUCUGUUACAUUUUUGGUGGGAGCCAUGGGUCCCUCCAUGUGUACUAAUUGGUUGGUGGUUUAGUCCCUGGGACCUCUGGUGGGAUCUGGUUGGUUAAUAUUGUUCUUCUUAUGUGGUUGCCAACCCCUUCAUCUCCUUCAGUCUCAAACCCCUCCAUUGGGGUGCCCUUGGUCAGUCCAAUGGUUAGGUGCAACUAUUCUCAUCUGUAUCAGUAGGGCUCCAGCGGAGCCUCUCAGGGGACACCCAUAUCUGGCUCCUGUCAGCAAGCACUUCUUGGCAUCAGCAAUAGUGACUGGGUUUGGUAUCUGUAUGUGAGAUGGAUCUCUAUAUGGGGCAGUCUCUGUAUGACCUUUUCUUCAGUCUCUGCUCCACUCUUUACCCUGGUAUUUCCUCCCAUGAGUAUUUUGUUCUCCCUUCUAAAAAGGAAUGAAGCAUCCACAUUUUUGGUCUUUCUUCUUAUUGAGCUUCAUAUGAUCUGUGAAUUUCUCCAUAGGUAUUCCAAGCAUUUGGGCUAAUAUCCAUUUAUCAGUGAGUACAUACCAUGUGUGCUCUUUUGUGACUGGGUUACCUCACUCAGGAUGAUAUUUUCUAGUUCCAUCUAUUUGCCUAAGAAUUUCAUGUAAUCAUUGUUUUUAAUAGGUAGGUAGUACUCUAUUGUGAAAAUGUACCACAUUUUAUGUAUCCAUUCCUCUGCUGAAGGACAUCUGGGUUCUUUCUAGCUUCUGGCUAUUAUAAAUAAGGCUGCUACAAACAUAGCGGAGCAUGUGUCUUUGGAAUAUGUUGGAGCUUCCAUUGGGUGUAUGUCCAGGAGUAGUAUAGCUGGGUCCUCAGGUAGUACUAUGCCUAAUUUCCUGAGGAACCUCCAGACUGAUUUCCAGAGCGGUUGUACCACCUUGCAAUCCCACCAACAAUGAAGGAGUUGAAGGGUUAAAAUUUCUAAAAGUUAGUCAUGAACAAAGUCCAGACAUGCCUGAGAGAAUUUGAGAUAGGGCUCACUGGCCCGACUAUCAACUCCCAAGGACACUGGCCAUCUGGAGCCACCCCCUCCCCUUCCUUCACUCCCUGAGGAUGGGUCAUCCCCCUGCUACAGUGAGAUGAGUUGCCCUGCCCACAUUGCUGAGAUGCUAGAUUACACGUAUGCUUUGUUGAUGUAACUCCGUGCCAAAAGUAACUGUACACCCUUUGUAUUAGCCAAUUAUGUGUAUUCACACGAAACCCCUGGUUUUCCCUAUAUAAGCUCCUGCCUAGAGAGGCUCGGGGCUUGACUCAAUCUCCUGUGUGAGAUACGUGUCAGCCCGAGAUCUCGUAAAUAAAACUGCCUCUUGUUGAUUACAUCAAGACCGGCUUCUCGUGUUUCCUGGGGGUACCUCAACCCGUGACUGGAGCGAGAGUCUCCCCAAGUCUGGGGGUCUUUCAUUGGGGGCUCGUCCGGGAUAGGAGCGUAACUCCCGGAGAUCCGAAUGCUUCUUGGAGAUAGCGGAAGUGAGGACGCCCCAGCUCUGGGAGACGUCCCACGAGCCGACUUUUGUCGGGAGGACCCAGCAGGUGACAGUCAAAGAGAUCUGACUGUGACUUGACUUCGGAGGUCGUGUUCGGCUGCCUAUUUAAGUAUAGGCAUGGACAAGUGUGCUUAGAUGUGUUAGUGUCUGUUGUCUGUAUUCUGUUUCUGUGUUUGGUAUCCCAGAAGCAGCUAAGGUUAAGCUGCAGUUUGGGCCAGGUACUGAAGGUACCAGGCAUCUGUGGAAAUUGGUUAUAGGAUGCUUUGUCUUGGGUCUUGUUUGUCUGCUUUGUUUUCUGUGGUAUUGUCCAGUGUCUUUUUGGCUUUUGUUUCGUUUUUGGACUUGGACUGACAACUGUGUUUGAAAUCUUGGACUGACAACUGUGUUUGAAAUCUUGGACUGACGACUGUGUUUGAAAUCAUGAAACUGUUUGCUUUGUUUGUCAAAGAGUUUUACUUGGUCCUCUUGGUGCUUAACUUAAAAGUUAAAAAUAAUUUGCUUGAGAGAAAUUGUUUUCUGUCGGGGAGUUUUAUCUUUCUCACUUGAGCCUCCUCCCCAAGGAGAGCUGCCCCUCUCUUUACUCCCAUUGUCCAGCCCAGCUGCUGUUAACCGUUGUGUAUGAAGGACUCCAGGUUAGCGAGUGAUCCGUCUGAAGCAGGCAUUAACAAGAACCUGAAAGCUUUACCUUAGAUCCUGAAGAAAAAUUCUCCCUGUUGCUUAAACAUUCACAGCUUCUAAGGAAGGGACAACACAGAGUAGGAAAAUGUAGGGGCUGAGGGUGGUGAGCAUACAGGCCUGCUAGCAAGCUACAGGCUGCGAGUGGGCAACAGCGCAGCUCUGGCCAAGCCAGUGUAAGAGGAGUUUCAAGGUAAGGAGGCUGGCUGGGGUUGGCGCUUUGACAACAAAGAUAGCGUAGAGUUAGUGGUUGUAUUAUGAGACUUUUGGCCCUGAAAAAAAAAAUUCCAGUUGCUGCCUUCAGUGGCCAGACCUUCAACACUUGCUCACAAAAGGAGAGUGUUCAUUUAGAGAAGUUCUUUAAGGGAGCCUGCCUUAUCUGCUGGCCCUAUUCCAAGAGAGGAGUUGAUCUCCAACAUUAAGUAACCUUCCCUGUUAGUCGUCAUUGACAUGGAGAGUGCCUUUGAUCCUAUCCCCACAGCAGCCAGUUCCUGCCCCUGUGGUCAAAAUGCCCCAGGUUGGGGGGCAGAGAAGCCCCUAAAAUAGUUUCAAAAAAUCUACAACAAACUGUAAAGAACUUUGUUUUGUUUUGCCAGUCAAAAUUUAGAAUUCAGGCUUUGGCUGUGGCCAAGGUCAAGAUUAAUGUUUUCUUUUCCAUGGGCCUUUAGCCCACUGAGACAGUUUGGUGAAGGACUACUACUACAGUCCUGAUAUUCAGAGACAUGGAGAGAGCUAUAGUUUUUUUUUAUUAAAGGUUGGUACUAUAGUAUUAACAAUCUCCUUAUUAGAUGUAAGAGACAAGAAGCCCCAGGUAAACUGGUUACAAUUCUUUUGUCAGCCACUUAGUAUCUAACACCCAGGUUCUAACCCUCUCUCCAUCCUUUUGUUAUUAGUUCUUACUAGAAGCCUAGUGUCCUUCAGAGGCUGGGUUUAUUGAGAGACAGAGCCACUGAGCUGACACUGAAGGGAGGUACUUCUUAAAUAAAAUCUAAGUCCAGAGAGAUAGUCGAUAACAGAUCAGCUGCCUCUCUGCUUGCCUUUCUGUUUCACAGACACAAAGCUUGUGCUUAUUUCUACAACAGCCUUUUUGUCCCAAGAAGGCCUCCUGGCUUAGCUGUGUGACUAAAUGCUAUUUGCCCUCUUCAGUGGACCUCUAUUCUCAAGAUUCCUUUGUUUUCUCACCAUCCCAUUUAAGAUGCUUGUUAGUAGCUGUUACAGGUCUUCUUUACCACCGAGGAAAGACAGAAUUCUACUAGAGGCCAGAAAAAAAUGUUCCAGACAUGGAUGGAAGGCCCUCACUUCUGCCUGUUGACUUCAAAACGCCUAAAGGUAGGGAGUGCCAGGUCUGCCGCCAGGCUCCAAGGGUGGGUCUCAGAGGGGCUAAAAAAUGCCCCACCAAUUUGGCUAAAGUAAAAAAAAGAUAUAAAGAAAAAGUUACAGAAACUCAUGAAGGGUUAAGCUAAGUCACUGAGAGAGUUGUUGUAAGUUACAGAGAAAAUAAGGUUGAUAUAUGGUUCAGGGUCGGUGCACAAAAGUAGACAGCAACUAAUAGCUGUAGAAGAAGAUACAGACAGAGAGACUGAGGAAGAGAAAGAGACAAGAGGGGAACAUAUACUGGCCACAGUAGUUAGGGAACCUAGGAAGAUAGUACCUGGCAACAGAAGAGAAUUCCUGGCUAAAGAUCAGUGUGCCUAAUACGAAGAAAAAGGACACUGGGUCAGGGACUGCCCAAGAAAGAACAAGAGGGGCCACUGGAGAGUUUCUUGGUCCUAGAGUGCUGGCUAUGUACAGAGAUAGAAGGGAAGUGUGGAUACUGGGACCCAAUGCUCUGUGCUCCUAUGCCCUCCCCCCGAGUGGGUCAAUAUCCAAAGACCUUGAGUGCAAGGGGCUACUGGCAAUGAACAAUACUUAUGGACUGCCCGAAGAACAGUGGACCUUGGCGUGGGCCGGGUAACCCACCCACUAGUUCAUGGUCAUCCCUGACUGCCCCUAUCCCUUGCUCAUGAGAAAAUUGCUCUCCAAAAUGGCUUGUGUGGGCUAAAAUGGCUGGGUGAGGCCAUGUGUAUACAUAUCUACAGACUGUGUAUGUGGAGCUUAAGACCUGUCUCAGUGCACCAGUACCUGAUGCUGGGAGAUGUGUGUGUGUGGCUUAGUGCCGUUCUGCCUGGAACACAUCAUUCCUGCCAACCGGGCUCUGACAAUUAUCACCCAAUCCAGGACUUAAACUGCGGUAGAGUGGCUGAUGUUUUGCCUUUAAAUGAAAUGUCCCAGAGGAUGGGAUCACUGAUCAGCUGACAUGGACUAGAUUCUCCACCUGUUGGGGGCAAUCUGGUCACCUUGCUGCCCAACCCUGACCUAGAGCCACCACAGCACAAGUGUCAAGCACUGACAGAAGCCCAUGGGUGGAGGAAAGACCUCUGUGACUGGAUGAUUGACCCCUGCUGAAAGCCGAGGACCUUGUCCACAGACAGGAACAGUUCUCUUCAUGAAGGUCAGAGAUAAGUGGGUGCUGCCGUGGUGGACAACACAAUGUCAUCUGGGAUGGCUGAACUUCCACCCCCCAGCACAUCAGUGCUACAGAUGCCUUUACCAUCUCUUGGAUGCCCUGGUGAAGCCAACAACUGUGAAUACUAUUCAUUGCUCAGGAUAUCAGAAGGAAGAGAUUCAGUGGCAUGGGACAGUAACAAAGCAGAUAAAGUGGCUCGGAAAAUGGCUAUGCAGGAGCCUAUCCUGGUUACAGGCCUACAAGAGACGGCCUCUACAAUCAUCAAGAAGAUACUGGAAGAAAUCUUUCCCCCGAUUUGAAAUGCCCAAAGUAAUCUGGUCAGACAAUGGCCCUACUUUCGUUGCCAAGGUAAGCCAGGGUGUGGCCAAGUAUUUAGAGGUUGAUUAGAAAUUACAUUAUAUUUACAGACCUCAAAGUUCAAGACAGAUAGAAUAAAUAAAUAAAACUCUAAAAGAGACCCUGAACAAAUUGACCAUGGAGACUGGCACAGACUGGGUGACACUCCUUCCCUCUUGCUCUCUUCAGAGCAAGAAAUAUCCCUUCCAAAUUCAGCCUUACCCCCUUUGAGACCUUAUAUGGGGCCUCAGCUCCCCUGACUGUAUUAGAUGAUGUUACUGAACCAACAUGUCAUAGUGCCAUAGUAAUAAUGAUUUGUGUGCCAGGCUAAAAGACCUACAGGGGAUACAGAAAGAAAUCUGCUCACAGCUGACAACAGCCUAUGCCCCGGAGACCCCUGACAUCCCAUCAGUUCCAGGUCGGAAGCAGCUACACUGAGCCCAGACACUCGAGCCUCGCUAGAAAGGACCGUACCUGGUGCUGCUGACCACCCUGACAGCCGUCAAUUCUCAGCCCUCACCAGCCACAUACUAGCUGUUGGGGCUGAGAGUUGGGACCUAGAGGGACACUCAGAUCUUCAUAAAGCUCCCUAGACUUGCACAUCAGAUAAGUGGAUACAUCAGAGAUGUGACUGAGAUGUUGCUAUAAUGCUCACUUGAGGAGUGUGCUUUAGAAACAAGAAUUUCAUGUUUGCCCUGGGUUCCAUCGAAAAAAAUAUAGAGAUAGGCUUGAUUUCUAUUACAAAUGAUGUAACAUUACAUAUGUUAAUACUCCUAAUACUUCUUGGGACUGUGCCUCAGGGACCACAAGUUUAAAAGUUCUAAGAUAGUCAUGACCUUGGUAUAUAGGUUUAGAUAGUGUUCAGAUUGGAAUCCUAAAGACUUUUUAGCUGACCUCCAAGAAUACCUAACCUCCCUCUCAGAGGUAGUCCUUCAAAAUAGGAGAAGAUUAGACCUGAUAUUCCUUAAAGAAAGAGGGCUAUGUGCUGCUUUGAGAGAAGAAUGUUGUUUUUACCUCAAUCACUCCGGGACCAUUAAAGAUUCUAUGGCUAAACUUAGGGAGAGGUUGGACAAGAGACGACGAGAACGAGAAACCACUAAUAACUGGUUUCAAAGCUGGUUCGAUAGGUCCCCAUGGCUUACCACCCUGCUGUCAGCCUUAGCUGGUCCCUUGAUUAUCCUCCUCCUUUUGCUCACUGUUGGGCCCUACAUCAUUAACCGCCUUUUUGCUUUUAUUAGGGAACGGAUUAGUGCUAUACAAGUCCUUAUGUUGAGACAACAGUAUCGGGCUGUACGGAGUGAAGAGCCACUAGACGCUAGAUUCAUCAUGGAGUCCUAAGAUUAGGACUAUUCACAAGGAGUAGAGGGGAAUGAAGGGUUAAAAUUUCUAAAAGUUAGUCAUGAACAAAGUCCAGACAUGCCUGAGAGAAUUUGAGAUAGGGCUCACUGGCCCGACUAUCAACUCCCAAGGACACUGGCCAUCUGGAGCCACCCCCUCCCCUUCCUUCACUCCCUGAGGAUGGGUCAUCCCCCUGCUACAGUGAGAUGAGUUGCCCUGCCCACAUUGCUGAGAUGCUAGAUUACACGUAUGCUUUGUUGAUGUAACUCCGUGCCAAAAGUAACUGUACACCCUUUGUAUUAGCCAAUUAUGUGUAUUCACACGAAACCCCUGGUUUUCCCUAUAUAAGCUCCUGCCUAGAGAGGCUCGGGGCUUGACUCAAUCUCCUGUGUGAGAUACGUGUCAGCCCGAGAUCUCGUAAAUAAAACUGCCUCUUGUUGAUUACAUCAA
Rattus norvegicus (Norway rat) is the source of this 7578-nucleotide long non-coding RNA. RefSeq lists it as uncharacterized. The record is from RefSeq and is a predicted model, not a curated record. NCBI's taxonomy places the organism in Eukaryota, Metazoa, Chordata, Mammalia, Rodentia, Muridae.